GAUGGGCGCAGCCUGAUCCAGCCAUGCCGCGUGUGUGAAGAAGGCUUUCGGGUUGUAAAGCACUUUCAGUGAGGAAGAACGCCUUGGGGCUAAUACCCCCGAGGAAGGACAUCACUCACAGAAGAAGCACCGGCUAACUCCGUGCCAGCAGCCGCGGUAAUACGGAGGGUGCGAGCGUUAAUCGGAAUUACUGGGCGUAAAGCGCGCGUAGGCGGCGUGAUAAGCCGGUUGUGAAAGCCCCGGGCUCAACCUGGGAACGGCAUCCGGAACUGUCAGGCUAGAGUGCAGGAGAGGAAGGUAGAAUUCCCGGUGUAGCGGUGAAAUGCGUAGAGAUCGGGAGGAAUACCAGUGGCGAAGGCGGCCUUCUGGACUGACACUGACGCUGAGGUGCGAAAGCGUGGGUAGCAAACAGGAUUAGAUACCCUGGUAGUCCACGCCGUAAACGAUGUCGACUAGCCGUUGGGGUCCUAGAGACCUUUGUGGCGCAGUUAACGCGAUAAGUCGACCGCCUGGGGAGUACGGCCGCAAGGUUAAAACUCAAAUGAAUUGACGGGGGCCCGCACAAGCGGUGGAGCAUGUGGUUUAAUUCGAUGCAACGCGAAGAACCUUACCUACCCUUGACAUCCUCGGAAGCCUGCAGAGAUGCGGGUGUGCCUUCGGGAGCCGAGUGACAGGUGCUGCAUGGCUGUCGUCAGCUCGUGUUGUGAAAUGUUGGGUUAAGUCCCGUAACGAGCGCAACCCUUGUCCCUAUUUGCCAGCGAUUCGGUCGGGAACUCUAGGGAGACUGCCGGUGACAAACCGGAGGAAGGUGGGGACGACGUCAAGUCAUCAUGGCCCUUA
Molecule: ribosomal RNA, 840 nt
Filed under: Halomonas sp. YCSC25
Lineage: Bacteria; Pseudomonadati; Pseudomonadota; Gammaproteobacteria; Oceanospirillales; Halomonadaceae
Description: bacterial SSU rRNA
Rfam family: Bacterial small subunit ribosomal RNA
Source: RNAcentral